RNAcentral lists this ribosomal RNA (693 nucleotides) under Enterobacter hormaechei. RNAcentral describes it as "partial 23S ribosomal RNA". It matches the Rfam family "Bacterial large subunit ribosomal RNA", at positions 2238 to 2925 of the family's 2925-position model. RNAcentral also lists the same sequence under 2 other names. Lineage: Bacteria; Pseudomonadati; Pseudomonadota; Gammaproteobacteria; Enterobacterales; Enterobacteriaceae. The record is from RNAcentral.
AUCCGGGUUGCGGACAGUGUCUGGUGGGUAGUUUGACUGGGGCGGUCUCCUCCCAAAGAGUAACGGAGGAGCACGAAGGUUGGCUAAUCCUGGUCGGACAUCAGGAGGUUAGUGCAAUGGCAUAAGCCAGCUUGACUGCGAGCGUGACGGCGCGAGCAGGUGCGAAAGCAGGUCAUAGUGAUCCGGUGGUUCUGAAUGGAAGGGCCAUCGCUCAACGGAUAAAAGGUACUCCGGGGAUAACAGGCUGAUACCGCCCAAGAGUUCAUAUCGACGGCGGUGUUUGGCACCUCGAUGUCGGCUCAUCACAUCCUGGGGCUGAAGUAGGUCCCAAGGGUAUGGCUGUUCGCCAUUUAAAGUGGUACGCGAGCUGGGUUUAGAACGUCGUGAGACAGUUCGGUCCCUAUCUGCCGUGGGCGCUGGAGAAUUGAGGGGGGCUGCUCCUAGUACGAGAGGACCGGAGUGGACGCAUCACUGGUGUUCGGGUUGUCAUGCCAAUGGCACUGCCCGGUAGCUAAAUGCGGAAGAGAUAAGUGCUGAAAGCAUCUAAGCACGAAACUUGCCCCGAGAUGAGUUCUCCCUGAGACCUUGAGUCUCCUGAAGGAACGUUGAAGACGACGACGUUGAUAGGUCGGGUGUGUAAGCGCAGCGAUGCGUUGAGCUAACCGAUACUAAUGAACCGUGAGGCUUAACCUU